This 440-nucleotide ribosomal RNA is filed under the name uncultured bacterium. RNAcentral describes it as "partial 16S ribosomal RNA". It matches the Rfam family "Bacterial small subunit ribosomal RNA", at positions 338 to 795 of the family's 1533-position model. The record is from RNAcentral.
CCUACGGGAGGCAGCAGUGGGGAAUAUUGCACAAUGGGGGAAACCCUGAUGCAGCAAAGCAGCGUGAGUGAAGAAGUAUUUCGGUAUGUAAAGCUCUAUCAGCAGGGAAGAAAAUGACAGUACCUGACUAAGAAGCCCCGGCUAACUACGUGCCAGAAGCCGCGGUAAUCCGUAGGGGGCAAGCGUUAUCCGGAUUUACUGGGUGUAAAGGGAGCGUAGACGGCUGCGCAAGUCAGAAGUGAAAGCUCGGGACUCAACCGCGGGACUGCUUUUGAAACUGUGUAGCUAGAGUGCAGGAGAGGUAAGUGGGAUUCCUAGUGUAGCGGUGAAAUGCGUAGAUAUUAGGAGGAACACCGGUGGCGAAGGCGGCUUACUGGACUGUAACUGACGUUGAGGCUCGAAAGCGUGGGGAGCAAACAGGAUUAGAUACCCCUGUAGUC